UCUUCUGUAGCAAUACAGGAGAUCGGCGCACGGCGCACGGGUGCGUAACACGUGGGUAACCUGCCCUCCAAAGGGGGAUAACCCGCCGAAAGGCGGGCUAAUACCGCAUGACAUUCCGGUGGCUUCGGUCGCUGGAAUCAAAGCCCGCAAGGGCGUUGGAGGAGGGGCCCGCGGCCGAUUAGCUUGUUGGCGAGGUAACGGCUCACCAAGGCUUUGAUCGGUAGCCGGUCUGAGAGGAUGGCCGGCCACACUGGAACUGAGACACGGUCCAGACUCCUACGGGAGGCAGCAGUGGGGAAUCUUGCGCAAUGGGCGAAAGCCUGACGCAGCGACGCCGCGUGGGGGAUGAAGCUUCUCGGAGUGUAAACCCCUUUCGACCGGGACGAAACGCCCGCAAGGGCUUGACGGUACCGGUAUAAGAAGCCCCGGCUAUCUACGUGCCAGCAGCCGCGGUAAGACGUAGGGGGCCAGCGUUGCUCGGAAUUACUGGGCGUAAAGGGUUCGUAGGCGGUGCGGUAAGUCGGAAGUGAAAUCUCUGGGCUUAACUCAGAGGCUGCUUUCGAAACUGCCGUGCUAGAGUGCGGGAGAGGCGAGUGGAAUUACAGGUGUAGCGGUGAAAUGCGUAGAUAUCUGUAGGAACACCCGUGGCGAAGGCGGCUCGCUGGACCGCAACUGACGCUGAGGAACGAAAGCUAGGGGAGCAAACAGGAUUAGAUACCCUGGUAGUCCUAGCCCUAAACCAUCAGGACUUGGGGUGGCCCGCGUUGGCGGGUCGUCCCGGAGCUAACGCGUUAAGUCCUGCGCCUGGGGAGUACGGUCGCAAGGCUG
Molecule: ribosomal RNA, 828 nt
Filed under: uncultured Bacillota bacterium
Lineage: Bacteria; Bacillati; Bacillota
Description: bacterial SSU rRNA
Rfam family: Bacterial small subunit ribosomal RNA
Source: RNAcentral